UAAGAUUGUAACAUUUGGAGCAGACAUAUAUGUCAAUUCAGGAAUCCUGAUUUUAUGUUGUUGAUUUUUAUUUAUGAUCAAUUAUCAAAACACCUGCUAAGAGUCGAUUGAUUUGUGUUUUGAGAAGACACCAUAGACGCUAAUGACACAUACGUAGCUAGGCCUAACAGAAGUAGGCAAGAUCAUUCUAAACACCAGCUUAACAGAAUUACUGGAAAGAUCAUUCUAAACACUAUUCGCACAUUUGCCUACGACCCCAUCAUCAUAGGUCUCCUGUAGCUCUUCCACAAGCUUGAGCAAAGCCAUGGCCGAGGUUCCACCGUGGCUCACCGCUGACUUGGCUGCUUGCUGCGCCCACACAGCCCUCUCCCGCAUCCGCUUCGCCGCCUUGCUUUCAGCGUCCAUCAGCUCCCGAACCUUCUCCUCCACCUCCGCGCUCCCGACGACGUCAGCGCCAACCUUCAGGGCUAUCCUGACGCCGGCGCCUAAGAUGUUGGCCACGUGCCUUGCGUUCAGGUGCUGCUCCGCGAUCAUCGGCCACGCCAGCAUGGGCUUCCCGGCGGCGAGGCUCUCCAUCACAGAGUUCCACCCGCAAUGGCUCACGAACCCACCAACUGCCUUAUGGGCCAGAAUACUUCUCUGCGGAACCCAUCCACGGACGAUCCGGUUGUUGGGCCCCACGUCCACCGGCGGCGACCACGUGUCAGAUCGGACGGCCCAGAGGAAGGGAUGGCCGGACUGCACCAGCCCGUGCACCAGCUCGUCCAGCUGCACGUCCGUGAUGUGGGCCUGCGUCCCGAACGAGAUGUACACCACCGACCCCGGAUGCGCCGCCCUCUCGUCGAGCCACGAGAGACAGCCCUCGGGGUCUUGCUCCUUCUUCUCGCCGUCCGGCAUGUCGCCGGCGGCCAUGAACAGCGGGCCCACGAGCCAGGCACGGGCGCCCGUCUCGUAGAAUGACUCCAAGGCCGACACGUAGGCCGCGUCGAGCGCGUCGAGGCUGUUGCUGAGGACUCCCCAGCUGCGCACGUCCGAAUCACCGAUCUCGUCCAUGAAGAAGCGCGUGAACGGGUUGUCGGGGUCGGCCCUCUUGGUGACCCCAUCGGGAACCUCCUCCGCCCUGACCGCCACGUGCUCCGGCAUGCCGGGCACCUGGAUCAUGGUCCCGGGCUCGAAGCUGGUCGGCGGGCUCGCAGCGAGCGCCUUGCAGAUCGCCGAGGCGAAGCAGGACAUGCCGUUGAACACGAUGCGGCGGACGCCGGCGUCGGCCGCCACGCGGCGCGUGAACCCGAGGAAGAAGUCGGAGACGAGCGCGAGCGGCGGGGACGGGAGCGACGCCAGGAACUCGGCGAACGGCCCGCGCAGGAGCCCCGUCGCCUGCAUGAACGUCAGGUGCAGCGACGGGCACGGGAGGGCGUCGGUGGACUCGACGCCCUCCGGCAGCGGCGGGAACGACGGGAACGGGAGCGCGACGAGGCCCACCGACGCGGGCAGACGGCUCCGGGCGAAGGCCACGUUGCCCGGGGUGGUGACCAGGGUCACGCGGAGCCUGCCGUGUUGCGCCGAGAGUGCCGUGGCGAAGUGGAGCAGCGGGAGCAUGUGGCCCUUCGCCAUGAAAGGGAAGAUGACGACGUGGUCGCGGCCUGACCUUGACACAGGAACGUUCAAAUCCCCGAUACGAACGAACUGCACGUAGGGGAGAAUGCGACAAACAGUUGGAAAGGGUUUUCUCACCAGCGACAGCUGCGAAGUAGUCUGCCCGCGGGGCGCAGCGGAAUCCGCGGCGGAGCUCCGACUCCGGCAUGAAAUCGCCACGCGCUCCGAUCACCACUUCGCCCGUUGAUACAACGGCCGGUUCUCUCGAGCGUUGCCGAACCCCACUGACCCAAUCGAUUGAGCCCAAGGUUCGCACGGCAGCGACGGAUCUCGACUCUCUCUCUCGCGGUGGUUCACGAAGGCAGAGAAGUGGUAGUUCGGCGGCUGGUGAAGGCGGUCUUAUAGCACAGAGAUGCGAGGGGGAAGAAGUCCGCGGCGCCGGAUCCUCGGCGAGAUCCAGCAUCGGCGGGUGGUUACGCCCGAGCCGGGCGCCAUUGCAACGGCCCUGGCGGAGAAGGCGGGCUGACGCCUGGGUCCCACGCAACGGUGACUGUGAACGCCCUCGGCGAGCGGAGCCCACCAGUUAGUGACCGGGAAAGAAAACGCGGCGCGGGAGGGUGCGACUGAUGCGCGGGUCCGGCCUGUCAGCGCCAGGCUGCGCGAGAGCGGGAGUUGGGCCGCCGCGGGUGUAAUUCGUUGGUGGGCCGAGAAACAAAGUUGAGGCCCAACAGGCAUUUUCUCUUGUUUUUCUUAUUUCUGUUUGAAUUUCUUUCACAAUUUCGAAUUUUGGUAUUUAAUUUAUGAAUUGUUCAUGAGUUUCACACACAAUUCAAGUGCACAAACAAAAGUCCCAGCAUGAUGCAAUAUUUUAUUUUACUAUUAUUUUCAUUUUAUUUCAUUAUUUAUUAGGGAAUUUAUCCAUGACAAUUGGUUUUUUUAUACAUGUGUGUGCUCAAGGAAGGGAAAAAAUGCAUAUAAUGUACAUCCAAAACUCUAUCUCCUUUAUUUAUUACUAGGUCUAUGUCCGUGCGUUGCUACGGGAGUAAAAAAUUAGUAUGAAACAUAUAUACAGAACGACAAACAUCAUUGUCCCUCUAAUUGGUUGGACGCAUCGUUUCAUCGUGAGUCACUGCAUGCAUUGAUUUUAUCUAAGCAUUUGUUUGGUGAGGGAAUGUUGAAACACUAUCUAUAUAUCUAUUCAGAUGACUGAAAAAUCUUUGUUGCAAAAUAGUUCUUUGCUUUCCAGUUUAGUUUACUACUAUUAUGAACAUUGAUGGUAUUUACUUGAUCUUGUCCAAAGCAGUCCAUGUUCAAAUUCAUUUGUGGGGUAUAUGGUGUCUCCAAUAUGCUCUAACUUAACUUCAGAAGAGGUUUACUUUCAGUGUGUGUGCGCAUGGGGUAGGGCGAAUGACAAAAGGCAGUGUUGUACAUAAAUAAUAGCUUUUGAAAACUUGGCUAGUUGAUUUAGCAGAGAUGAUUUGGCAGCUAGGUUAAUUAGAACCAAAUGAUUUUCCCAUGUUAAGUUAAUUUCUUCUUUGGAGAUGGACAAGAGUUUUAUGCAAUAAGAAAAAAGCAAAGCAGAAGGAUAUGCAGGAAUAUGCUCUUACUUAAAUUCAGAAGAGGCUCUAUUAUUACUUUUAGUGUGUAUGUGUUUGGCUGCAGGGGGUAACCAGUAACAAGCAUAUAUGUAGUGGCAAGAGACUAUAUAAUAAUUUUAAAGUUGAUGAUUGCUAGGGGAGACUACUAAAGGAUAAAAAAUCGUCAAAAAAAUUAAAACGCUUGCUUCGUCAUUUUUCUGAAUACUAAAGGAUAAAAAAACUUCUCAACCAUCCCUAUCUUUCCAGUAAUUUCAAGGGAGCUGAGCUGAUAGGGAUGGUUGGUAGAACGAUGAGAGAAGCGUGAACCAUUCCGUGCAAGGAAAAUCACCGCCAAAAGAUAGACGGUACAGAAGCUGGAGUCCAUAGAAACAACACUAGGGUGUUUUCUUGGGCUUAUUUCUAGCUUCCUAGAAGGUGUUGUGGACCGUCAAACGUCUAUCUUUUCAGUCUAUUUUUAUAAGAAUCGUUUUGGUGAAAACAGUUCAAAACCAACAUGAACACAAAAAACGAUCGUCGUCAUAAAAGUAGGAAACUGUCAAUUUCUAGAUCAUAAGAAUGUCUCCAACAGAUAGGGGGACGCAGAACUGUAGAUGACACGAAGACAUUGUUUAUAGAGUGGAGUUUGAAACAAAAGAUAAGAUUGAAAAUAAAGUUGAAGAUACCCUGUGAACUCCUCACUUAAUACCCAUGAUAUUCAGAAUCUUCUGGUGGCUAGCUUCUCUCCGCAUCCGUAUUCAGAAAAAAGACGAAACAAGUAGACCCCUAGUCUGCUAGAGCUUAGCAGGCGCUGACAUCAGGAAUUCAACUCGUUGGGUGGAGGUGUUAGUGUUAGGAGUUGUAAGAUGAAGAAGAGGCGCAUCAUCAGGUGUUACAAAGGAGUUUCUAUCUGUUUUUGCCGACCUGAGUGUUGGUAGUGAGAAUUUAAGUAUACAGAGGUUUUGUAUAGGGUUCGUCCAUUACUAUGUAACUUGGUCGUGAAAUUGAAAACGCUCAACAUACCGAAAACAGAUCACUGGAAAGAAACAGCUUGAUGCAGGAUACUUGAGUUCCAAUAUCUACUGUAGUUUGUUGGUUAGUGUUUUUCAGUUUUAUUUAAUGGAUUUCAUCAACUUUCAGAGAACUGAUAGACAGUUUGGCUUCCGCGAACUCGUAGGCAUCCUGAAUAGAGCCAUACAACUACCCUAUCAAUUCUACGGAGUAGAACGAUUGGUCUAUGCAGCAUCAAGGGAAGCGCAACCAUGUUCGUACCUACGACGGUUGCGGCGUCCGGCCUCGCGCGCCUUGCGCUUCUUCUCGUCCGUCUUGCUCUCGUACCUCCGGCGGCGCUUGAUCUCCUACAGCACGUCGGCGCGCAUCACCUCCCGCAGGAACCUGCAGAAGAUGGACUCCUCCCCCUCGUUCUCAUCCACCAGGAUCUGCACAUUGUACCACUUGGCUGCCACCACCACCGUCUGCAGGAGGCCAAGCGCGCGUGGCGGGCCAUCGCCAUGGAACUUCUACGGCCAGCUCGACCUCCUCGUCAGCACCACUCUCACCGGCAUCAAGAAGUCGUCCCCACCACGUGCCGUGCCACGCUGCCCGUGUUCCGGAGGGGGAGACGACCGAGGGGAUUUGGGGGCGAUGCACGCAGGCGGGAUAGGGGCAUAGGAUGGACGGUCUGGGUAGAAGCCAUAGGACGGACGGUCCAGAUUAACAGAAGGGAGAACAAGGGGAGGCAUUCUACCCCCUUGUAGCCUUAAUAUAGUAGUAUAGAUAUAGAUUUACAAGCAACUAAAGCUAAUAAGGUCUAUUUAGUCUUUUAUUUCUUUGCUUGGUCCGAGCCGAAGCUAUUGAGCUUCGGCAUUCCGCAACAUUGCUUGUACACAAAGUCUUAGACUUGAGGAACAAAGCCAAGGUUGAUGAUAGUUUCGGUGAGCCUUCGUAUUAUCUUGCCAAAAGUGUUCUUGCCUUGAGGACCUUCGGCGGAGAAGAAGGCUUCCAACAAUGUCUAUAUUCAAAUAGAUGAUGAUAAAUCUAAACAGAUAUACAAAACACAUAUCAAAUGUUUAAAACAAAUUUUAAUUUGGGCGGAGGAGUAUUACUCUAUAUAUGAACAAUCAAAAUAAAGUUGGCUACACUUCAAAUUCUAUUAUCCAUUCUGGUAGUCCAAUCUUUGUAUACCACACAAUUUGUAUCCAAGAAUCCAGCAACAUUAAAAUCAAACACUCACAAUCCUCCCUCAUGCUUGAACUCAAUUCAAGGGCCCAAAGGUCGUGGUUCUUUCUGUGACCUGGCUUCAACACCGAUGGAGCUGUCAGAAUCUGCACACAUUGAUACUCACAGAAGGAAAAAAAACUUGCCAACACUGGUAAGAUUGUAACAUUUGGAGCAGACAUACAUGUCAAUUCAGGAAUCCUAAUUUUAUGUUGUUGAUUUUUAUUUAUGAUCAAUUAUCAAAACACCUGCUAAGACUCGAUUGAUUUGUGUUUUGAGAAGACACCAUAGACGCUAACGACACAUACGUAGCUAGGCCUAAGAGAAGUACUGGCAAGAUCAUUCUAAACACCAGCUUAACAGAAUUACUGGAAAGAUCAUUCUAAACAAUAUUCGCACAUUUGCCUACGACCCCAUCAUCAUAGGUCUCCUGUAGCUCUUCCACAAGCUUG
Molecule: long non-coding RNA, 5839 nt
Filed under: Zea mays
Lineage: Eukaryota; Viridiplantae; Streptophyta; Magnoliopsida; Poales; Poaceae
Description: long non-coding RNA (ZMAY_LNC003391)
Source: RNAcentral